This 449-nucleotide ribosomal RNA is filed under the name uncultured bacterium. Its description in RNAcentral is "bacterial SSU rRNA". It matches the Rfam family "Bacterial small subunit ribosomal RNA", at positions 355 to 825 of the family's 1533-position model. The record is from RNAcentral.
UGGGGAAUAUUGCGCAAUGGGGGAAACCCUGACGCAGCGACGCCGCGUGUGGGAUGAAGGUCUUCGGAUUGUAAACCACUGUCGCGAGGGACGAAGCUCUGACGGUACCUCGAAAGGAAGCACCGGCUAACUCUGUGCCAGCAGCCGCGGUAAGACGAGGGAUCCUAGCGUUGUUCGGAAUCAUUGGGCGUAAAGCGGGUGUAGGCGGACUUAUAAGUCAGGUGUGAAAUCCCAGGGCUCAACCCUGGAAGUGCACUUGAUACUGCAAGUCUUGAGUGUGGUAGAGGCUAUUAGAAUUCCUGGUGUAGUGGUGAAAUACGUAGAUAUCAGGAGGAAUACCGGAGGCGAAGGCGGAUAGCUGGGCCAACACUGACGCUGAGACCCGAAAGCGUGGGGAUCAAACAGGAUUAGAUACCCACGUAGUCCCUGAGCGGGCUGGCAAGGCGCAU